RNAcentral lists this ribosomal RNA (506 nucleotides) under uncultured bacterium. Its description in RNAcentral is "partial 16S ribosomal RNA". It matches the Rfam family "Bacterial small subunit ribosomal RNA", at positions 29 to 523 of the family's 1533-position model. The record is from RNAcentral.
AGUGAACGCUGGCGGUAGGCCUAACACAUGCAAGUCGAACGGCAGCACAGGAGAGCUUGCUCUCUGGGUGGCGAGUGGCGGACGGGUGAGGAAUACAUCGGAAUCUACUCUGUCGUGGGGGAUAACGUAGGGAAACUUACGCUAAUACCGCAUACGACCUACGGGUGAAAGCAGGGGACCUUCGGGCCUUGCGCGAUUGAAUGAGCCGAUGUCGGAUUAGCUAGUUGGCGGGGUAAAGGCCCACCAAGGCGACGAUCCGUAGCUGGUCUGCGAGGAUGAUCAGCCACACUGGAACUGGGACACGGUCCAGAAUCCUACGGGAGGCAGCAGUGGGGAAUAUUGGACAAUGGGCGCAAGCCUGAUCCAGCCAUACCGAGUGGGUGAAGAAGGCCUUCGGGUUGUAAAGUCCCUUUGUUGGGAAAGAAAUCCAGCUGGCUAAUACCCGGUUGGGAUGACGGUACCCAAAGAAUAAGCACCGGCUAACUUCGUGCCAGCCGCCGCCGUAA